Molecule: ribosomal RNA, 450 nt
Filed under: uncultured bacterium
Lineage: Bacteria
Description: bacterial SSU rRNA
Rfam family: Bacterial small subunit ribosomal RNA
Source: RNAcentral
UAGUAGGUAGGGUAAUGGCCUACCUAGGCUACGAUGGUUAGCGGGUCUGAGAGGAUGAUCCGCCACACUGGCACUGGAACACGGGCCAGACUCCUACGGGAGGCAGCAGUGAGGAAUAUUGCGCAAUGGGGGAAACCCUGACGCAGCGACGCCGCGUGAGUGAGGAAGGCCUUCGGGUCGUAAAGCUCUGUCAAAGGGAAAGAAGUGCAUGGUGGCUAAUACCUGCCAUGUUUGACGGUACCCUUAAAGGAAGCACCGGCUAACUCCGUGCCAGCAGCCGCGGUAAUACGGAGGGUGCAAGCGUUGUUCGGAAUCACUGGGCGUAAAGGGCGCGCAAGCGGUUUGGUAAGUCAUAUGUUAAAGCCCACGGCUUAACCGUGGAAGUGCAUUUUAUACUGCUAGACUUGAGUACCAGAGGGGAAAGUGGAAUUCCCGGUGUAGAGGUGAAAU